Molecule: ribosomal RNA, 749 nt
Filed under: uncultured bacterium
Lineage: Bacteria
Description: bacterial SSU rRNA
Rfam family: Bacterial small subunit ribosomal RNA
Source: RNAcentral
UGCAGUCGAGCGGAACGAGUUAUCUGAACCUUCGGGGAACGAUAACGGCGUCGAGCGGCGGACGGGUGAGUAAUGCCUGGGAAAUUGCCCUGAUGUGGGGGAUAACCAUUGGAAACGAUGGCUAAUACCGCAUAAUAGCUUCGGCUCAAAGAGGGGGACCUUCGGGCCUCUCGCGUCAGGAUAUGCCCAGGUGGGAUUAGCUAGUUGGUGAGGUAAGGGCUCACCAAGGCGACGAUCCCUAGCUGGUCUGAGAGGAUGAUCAGCCACACUGGAACUGAGACACGGUCCAGACUCCUACGGGAGGCAGCAGUGGGGAAUAUUGCACAAUGGGCGCAAGCCUGAUGCAGCCAUGCCGCGUGUAUGAAGAAGGCCUUCGGGUUGUAAAGUACUUUCAGCAGUGAGGAAGGUGGUGUACUUAAUACGUGCAUCAUUUGACGUUAGCUGCAGAAGAAGCACCGGCUAACUCCGUGCCAGCAGCCGCGGUAAUACGGAGGGUGCGAGCGUUAAUCGGAAUUACUGGGCGUAAAGCGCAUGCAGGUGGUUUGUUAAGUCAGAUGUGAAAGCCCGGGGCUCAACCUCGGAAUUGCAUUUGAAACUGGCAGACUAGAGUACUGUAGAGGGGGGUAGAAUUUCACGUGUAGCGGUGAAAUGCGUAGAGAUCUGAAGGAAUACCGGUGGCGAAGGCGGCCCCCUGGACAGAUACUGACACUCAGAUGCGAAAGCGUGGGGAGCAAACAGGAUUAGAUACC